ACUUCCUCCUAAGUUACUAGAUCUAAAAGUUAGCCUAUAAAUUUUAAAAAUUUCAUAAUCUAAUCUAUAGAUUUACUGUGAAAAUUAUUGACAUCAUGUUUAUAUAUUUGAAUAAUAUUCGGAAACCAAAACGUAAUAAACCAAAAUAACCCAAAACAAAUAGAUCGAUUCUAGAUCAUUGGCAAAUUCAACUGAGUCAUUGGUACUGUAUUGGUUGUGGCCUAGCCUUCAGCACAUUGAGUGGUAGGGUCAAUUCGAG
Molecule: non-coding RNA, 259 nt
Organism: Biomphalaria pfeifferi
Lineage: Eukaryota; Metazoa; Mollusca; Gastropoda; Planorbidae
Source: the annotation of a GenBank genome assembly